This 61-nucleotide transfer RNA is filed under the name Amblyomma testudinarium. RNAcentral's name for it is "tRNA-Phe". Lineage: Eukaryota; Metazoa; Arthropoda; Arachnida; Ixodida; Ixodidae. The record is from RNAcentral.
AUCUUUAUAGUUUAAAAAAAAAACAUUACACUGAAAAUGUAAAAAUAUUAUUUUAAAGAUA